GUAACGUUUCAUCGCUUCAUGUGAAGAAUCGGUAAAAUAAAAUAAAACUAAAGCUGCAUAAAGGCCUAUUCAGACCUAAGCGGUAUUCGCUACCGUCUGCGGCAGAGAAAACCCAGUGGGUAUGCGGUAUAGUUCCAAAAUACUGAACUGUCCUAUGCAUGACAUUGACAGUAGGGCGCCACCGUCAAUACCGGAUCGCUGGUUCCGAUUUUUGCCAUGUUGGAAACCAUAUUGGCUCUGUGCACGAUUACAGCGCCAACUAGCGUCUACAACUUUGUGGGCUCUGUCACAUUGACAUUUAGGUCGUAUAUUUGUGAAAAAAUAACAAAUAUUUUCAACUAAUAAAUUGUUGUGAUACCACGAUUUGGGUGGAAAAAAGGUUUUGAAAUAAUUUUGGUCAUUCAAAUCAAAUGAGAUCGAAAUGAGUAUUGUUUUGAAGACCGGGUUUGUGAGUUUUACAAUAUCAAAUUCCAACCACAAACCGUAUUUAAAGGAAAGUUGUUGGUAUUGGCUGGACAAGUCCGAGAUGUAGAAGAAUUAAGAACAAAACAAGGGCAGAGUUCAAUAAUUCACGCUCUCAUCAUAAGGCAAACAUCUGUGCACAACAACUACUGUGACUCAUUUUUGUACUACCACGUUGUAUAGUCUAGUUAUUUCCAAAUAGUAAACGGCUAUUAAACCAGCCCUAUCGAAAAACA
Molecule: long non-coding RNA, 698 nt
Organism: Ostrinia nubilalis (European corn borer)
Lineage: Eukaryota; Metazoa; Arthropoda; Insecta; Lepidoptera; Crambidae
Exons: 2
Source: RefSeq, a predicted model, not a curated record